GCCUGGGUGGCUCAGUUGGUUAAGCUCCUGGCUUCAGCUCAGGUCAUGAUCUCACGGUUUGUGGGUUGGAGCCCCACAUCAGGCU
RNAcentral lists this transfer RNA (85 nucleotides) under Felis catus (domestic cat). It matches the Rfam family "tRNA". From Rfam's summary of the family: Transfer RNA (tRNA) molecules are approximately 80 nucleotides in length. Their secondary structure includes four short double-helical elements and three loops (D, anti-codon, and T loops). The record is from Rfam by way of RNAcentral. RNAcentral also lists the same sequence under 2 other names. Lineage: Eukaryota; Metazoa; Chordata; Mammalia; Carnivora; Felidae.